ACCAGCCUGAGUCCUUCCAGACUGCAGAGAUGGCUCCAAAGAGCUUGGGCCAGGGUGAGAAAGGAGAGGCUCCACUCUGGAUGACCACUGUGAGCAGGUGGAUCCAUGCGCUCUGUGUGUCCCUUCAUGUACUGGAAGAUGCCGGAAGAUGGCUACGGAGCAAGAGAAUUUUGGUGGAACAAGCACCAAAAAGAGAAAAAGUGAAG
This 206-nucleotide long non-coding RNA is filed under the name Fukomys damarensis (Damara mole-rat). RNAcentral's name for it is "lncRNA (ENSFDAG00000030616.1)". The record is from RNAcentral. Lineage: Eukaryota; Metazoa; Chordata; Mammalia; Rodentia; Bathyergidae.